CACGUAGGGGGCAAGCGUUGUCCGGAUUUAUUGGGCGUAAAGAGCUCGUAGGCGGUUUCGUAAGUCGGAUGUGAAAACUCCAGGCUCAACUUGGAGACGCCAUUCGAUACUGCGAUGACUUGAGUCCGGUAGGGGAGUGUGGAAUUCCCGGUGUAGCGGUGAAAUGCGCAGAUAUCAGGAGGAACACCGGCGGCGAAGGCGGCACUCUGGGCCGGUACUGACGCUGAGGAGCGAAAGCGUGGGUAGCAAACAGG
RNAcentral lists this ribosomal RNA (254 nucleotides) under uncultured bacterium. RNAcentral describes it as "partial 16S ribosomal RNA". It matches the Rfam family "Bacterial small subunit ribosomal RNA", at positions 524 to 776 of the family's 1533-position model. The record is from RNAcentral.